This 490-nucleotide ribosomal RNA is filed under the name uncultured bacterium. Its description in RNAcentral is "partial 16S ribosomal RNA". It matches the Rfam family "Bacterial small subunit ribosomal RNA", at positions 30 to 507 of the family's 1533-position model. The record is from RNAcentral.
AUUGAACGCUGGCGGCAGGCCUAACACAUGCAAGUCGAACGGUAACAGGAAGAAUCUUGCUUCUUUGCUGACGAGUGGCGGACGGGUAAGUAAUGUCUGGGAAACUGCCUGAUGGAGGGGGAUAACUACUGGAAACGGUAGCUAAUACCGCAUAACGUCGCAAGACCAAAGAGGGGGACCUUCGGGCCUCUUGCCAUCGGAUGUGCCCAGAUGGGAUUAGCUAGUAGGGGGGGUAACGGCUCACCUAGGCGACGAUCCCUAGCUGGUCUGAGAGGAUGACCAGCCACACUGGAACUGAGGCCCGGUCCAGGCUCCUACGGGAGGCAGCAGUGGGGAAUAUUGCACAAUGGGCGCAAGCCUGAUGCAGCCAUGCCGCGUGUAUGAAGAAGGCCGUCGGGUUGUAAAGUACUUUCAGCGGGGAGGAAGGUAGUAAAGUUAAUACCUUUACUUAUUGACGUUACCCGCAGAAGAAGCACCGGCUAACUCCGUG